GAUGAACGCUGGCGGCGUGCCUAAUACAUGCAAGUCGAGCGAACGGACGAGAAGCUUGCUUCUCUGAUGUUAGCGGCGGACGGGUGAGUAACACGUGGAUAACCUACCUAUAAGACUGGGAUAACUUCGGGAAACCGGAGCUAAUACCGGAUAAUAUUUUGAACCGCAUGGUUCAAAAGUGAAAGACGGUCUUGCUGUCACUUAUAGAUGGAUCCGCGCUGCAUUAGCUAGUUGGUAAGGUAACGGCUUACCAAGGCAACGAUGCAUAGCCGACCUGAGAGGGUGAUCGGCCACACUGGAACUGAGACACGGUCCAGACUCCUACGGGAGGCAGCAGUAGGGAAUCUUCCGCAAUGGGCGAAAGCCUGACGGAGCAACGCCGCGUGAGUGAUGAAGGUCUUCGGAUCGUAAAACUCUGUUAUUAGGGAAGAACAUAUGUGUAAGUAACUGUGCACAUCUUGACGGUACCUAAUCAGAAAGCCACGGCUAACUACGUGCCAGCAGCCGCGGUAAUACGUAGGUGGCAAGCGUUAUCCGGAAUUAUUGGGGUAAAGCGCGCGUAGGCGGUUUUUUAAGUCUGAUGUGAAAGCCCACGGCUCACCGUGGAGGGUCAUUGGAAACUGGAAAACUUGAGUGCAGAAGAGGAAAGUGGAAUUCCAUGUGUAGCGGUGAAAUGCGCAGAGAUAUGGAGGAACACCAGUGGCGAAGGCGACGUUCUGGUCUGUAACUGACGCUGAUGUGCGAAAGCGUGGGGAUCAAACAGGAUUAGAUACCCUGGUAGUCCACGCCGUAAACGAUGAGUGCUAAGUGUUAGGGGGUUUCCGCCCCUUAGUGCUGCAGCUAACGCAUUAAGCACUCCGCCUGGGGAGUACGACCGCAAGGUUGAAACUCAAAGGAAUUGACGGGGACCCGCACAAGCGGUGGAGCAUGUGGUUUAAUUCGAAGCAACGCGAAGAACCUUACCAAAUCUUGACAUCCUUUGACAACUCUAGAGAUAGAGCCUUCCCCUUCGGGGGACAAAGUGACAGGUGGUGCAUGGUUGUCGUCAGCUCGUGUCGUGAGAUGUUGGGUUAAGUCCCGCAACGAGCGCAACCCUUAAGCUUAGUUGCCAUCAUUAAGUUGGGCACUCUAAGUUGACUGCCGGUGACAAACCGGAGGAAGGUGGGGAUGACGUCAAAUCAUCAUGCCCCUUAUGAUUUGGGCUACACACGUGCUACAAUGGACAAUACAAAGGGCAGCGAAACCGCGAGGUCAAGCAAAUCCCAUAAAGUUGUUCUCAGUUCGGAUUGUAGUCUGCAACUCGACUACAUGAAGCUGGAAUCGCUAGUAAUCGUAGAUCAGCAUGCUACGGUGAACACGUUCCCGGGUCU
Molecule: ribosomal RNA, 1370 nt
Filed under: uncultured bacterium
Lineage: Bacteria
Description: 16S ribosomal RNA
Rfam family: Bacterial small subunit ribosomal RNA
Source: RNAcentral